Long non-coding RNA from Oryzias javanicus (javanese ricefish), 2844 nucleotides. Lineage: Eukaryota; Metazoa; Chordata; Actinopteri; Beloniformes; Adrianichthyidae. The record is from Ensembl.
GAAACCUUCUAGGUUGAGAUUUCUUCUCUAAACUCAUGCUCGGUGGUUUAUAACUUCAUUUCCUUCAUGUUUCCUCUCUUCACUGAAGUUUACGUUCAUCAAUCUUUUGUGACAGUUUUGUUCUCUUUUUUAGGCUGAUGUUUUGGUUUUUUAGUUGAAGAUGAUGAGUUUGCCCUCAAGUUCAUUUCCCGUGUUUGGGUCUUACAGCCGUCGUUCCAGAGUGUCUGAUCUUAAGAAUUCAUUUGACCACAGACAAAAAUGUUCAAUGAUACACAAAAUGGUCAAGAACAUUCAGACUGUUGUCAGUCAUAAAUGUAAAAACUGAUCAAUAUCCUGCAUCAACAAUAACAUUUAUAUUCAGUAAGAGUCGAAGAAUGGCACAAAUAAGUGAAACAUCGGAUAGACUCCAAAGUAAAUAUGUUUUAAAAAGUUUAUGUUUCAUGUGUAUUUUUCAUUUUAUGUAUUAAAAGUUUUUUUCUCUUCUCUCCUGCAGGCAUCAGUGGAAAAACUGAAAAACUCUAUCACAGAGUUGGAGAGAACGUCCUUUUACCUUGUAGAGAUAAAUCCUCCUCUUCCUCAUGCUCUGAUGUUACCUGGCUGUACCAGAAAGAUACAAGUGCAGAACUUGUAAAGGAAGUACGCAAUGGAAAAGUUGUCCAGAGUUUAUUUCGAGCUUCCAGGCUGAAUGUGAGCAGUGACUGCUCUCUGCUCAUCAGAAACAUCAUUCAUGAAGAUGCUGGUUAUUUCGUCUGUCGGUUCGGCGAGGAUAAUGAGUUUGACAACAAUGUGUAUCUUAAUAUUUUGAGCAUUUCUACAGAUCCACCAGAAGUUCAUCCAAGAGGAAAUGAAGACAUCACAUUACGGUGUUCACUGAAUAGAUUUGAUAAAACAAAAUCCUGUGAACAGAACAGCAUCAUCUGGAUGGAUGAGAGAGGAUCUCAGCUGACUGGUGAAGGUGUUGGGUUUGAGUUUAGAGGACAAACAAACUGUGUUUCUGUUCUGACUGUGAAACAUCAGAGUGGAAACAAUAAAAGAUUCACCUGCAAGUUUAUUGAGGACAACAAAGUGAAGAUUGAGGCUGUCUACAUUCCAUACUUUUCAGAAUCUCCCCAGAGCGACACUGUCAUCAUCAUUGGAGCUGUGGUCGGUGUGGUGUUGGUGCUGCUGGUCGUUUUUGCGGUUCUACUCUUCAAAAGCAAGAGAACCAAAACCACCGAAGAUCAAAAAAGAGGAACAAACUUUCAAAAAUCAAUACAUCAACAUAGUGAGCCAGAGACUGAGCUGGACGGUGAUCUGACGUAUGCUGUGGUUAACCAUUCCAAAUCAAAGGCUUCUUCCAAGAUCACAAUGAAGGAGACAGAAGGUGAAGUGACCUAUUCUUCCAUUAAAAUGAAGUGACUGAGGAAGCAGACAGGAUGACCGAAGUCUCCUGUCAUUCUUCAACCUGCUACCUCCUCUUCCAACCACCAGAGGGAGCGCUCACCUGAGUUUUGACCACCUCAUCUGCCUUCACUUAAGACUCUGAUCAUCCUCAGCUGUUUUCAAUCUGCUCAUCACCACCACAGUAUUUAGUCUGGCUUCUCACCACAGCUCACUGUGAAGUCUUGUUUGCUCUGCAUCCAGUCUGCAGCAGUUAUUCUUAUGUUUGAGUCUUUGUGUACUGGCGCUUGCUUCUGUCCAGCUUCCCAUGGGGCUGUGGACGAGACAUGGGGUAGAGAUGGCCAAAUUGAUGCCAAACUGAUGGACGUGCAUCAGCACAUGAACCGAGGGAGAGACAGAGCGCAAUGUGGAAACAACCACAACAUAAAUAAUAUAGGAAUAAAAACAUUUUUUACUUUAUUCAUUUUGUGGAUAAUCUUAUAUUAUUGAUGAUGAAUUAAAUAAAGUGAAAAAAAAAAAACCUUAGCGAGCAGUUUAGGAGUCAAAAGACGCUUUUUUUUUCAGAUCCGAACAGCGUCAUCUCACAUCUCUAAGAAGAGCCGGGAUUUUUAUCAAUACAAGAAACUCUGACAACAAUAUUUUGGUCCAUUAUUAAGCCUUGGUAAAGUGCUGCACCUAUUCUGUUAAAAUCACGCGUCAAACAGCUCGCCAUUGACAGACUGUCAAUGUGCUCAACAAGUGAUGUGACGUAACGAGGCCUCGUUUCUAUCGGUCACAUGAUGUAAAAUCUGCUCAAAUCGCGACACUUCUGGUUAAAAAAGAUCGAUGCAGUGUCGAGCUGGACAUCUCUAACAUGGGGUUGUAACACAAUAUACACAUCCAAUAAUAUCAUAUAUAUUAUAUGAGAAGUCUAUAAAUAGUUAAUCUUACAAACUAUAUUCUAUUAUUUUACCUUUUCUGGCUGCUUUUUGGUCCUUGUCAUGUUGUAUUAGUUUUAUAAUAAAAAACUUUUAUUUUGUCAAAGAAAAUAAGUUCCUGAAGGGAUUCUCCCUUUCCUGCAUGGAGACACAGAGACCUUACCUCUUUUAAGAUUCUUUAUUUUGUGGAUAACAACAAAAACAAAAGAAGAAGACACUCCACAAAAGUUGUUUUGGGUCAAUUCUUUUAGCGGACUUAUUAGUGGAGCUGCGCUCCUCAAACGCCUGCGAGUGAACCAGCCCCCUCCCUUUAUUUCCCCCAAACACCAGCUACUUUCCCAUUAACUCUAAAAUUUCUUGAAUUGGAUUUUUUUAUGAUAAUUAGUUAUCUCUAAUGGAAACACAAUUUAAAAAAAAAAAAAAAAAAAUCACAUUUUUCAAAAACGUUUUUGCGUUUAGAGGAGCUGGUUUUGGGGGGGUAUCGAAAUGGAUGGACAUUUUUCGCAAAACUGUAAUAGAAAUUUACUUUUUUCUUCAAUUAAGCAAA